AGCGACAAUCGGGCGGAAGGCGGUUUACACCCUGGACAAGUCGCCACCUCAUCGCAGAGCCCCCUGCAAACCCAAAGAGAAUAAGAGGUGAUCCCCUGCUGGCCUCCAAAUGGACUGGACUUUCACAUGAAGUUGGGACCCAGAGUGGCCACUCCCUAUGCAUCAGUCAGUGACGUCUCUCCAUGUCUCCAUUCAAGAUGAUCCCCUGCUGGCCCCACUAUGGACUGGACUCUCACAUUAUUAACUGUAUCCAGUCGACAUCCAUUGCAGCGGUCACCCAAGUGGGGAUCCCCAUAUCCGCGGUCCCUUCCAAGGUUUCUCGUUGUUCCCAUUGGGUAGAGUUUUAUCUUGCCCUGUUUGGGAUCUGAGCUGAGGAUGUCGUUGUGGCUUGUGCAGCCCUUUGAGACAUUUGUGAUUAAGGGCUAUAUAAGUAAACUUUGAUUUAAUGAUUGAUUGAUUGAUCAUUUGGGCUAUUUAGCCGGUGGCCCGUCAGUUUGAUUUAAAGAAUUUGUGAAAUUGUGAGAGACUCACAUUUGUGAAGUAGAUUAUUAAAAUGCUGGCGACUUG
Molecule: long non-coding RNA, 567 nt
Organism: Nerophis ophidion (straightnose pipefish)
Lineage: Eukaryota; Metazoa; Chordata; Actinopteri; Syngnathiformes; Syngnathidae
Exons: 2
Source: RefSeq, a predicted model, not a curated record